This 397-nucleotide ribosomal RNA is filed under the name uncultured bacterium. Its description in RNAcentral is "partial 16S ribosomal RNA". It matches the Rfam family "Bacterial small subunit ribosomal RNA", at positions 523 to 918 of the family's 1533-position model. The record is from RNAcentral.
AUACGUAGGUGGCAAGCGUUGUCCGGAAUUAUUGGGCGUAAAGCGCGCGCAGGUGGUUCCUUAAGUCUGAUGUGAAAGCCCCCGGCUCAACCGGGGAGGGUCAUUGGAAACUGGGGAACUUGAGUGCAGAAGAGGAUAGUGGAAUUCCAAGUGUAGCGGUGAAAUGCGUAGAGAUUUGGAGGAACACCAGUGGCGAAGGCGACUGUCUGGUCUGUAACUGACACUGAGGCGCGAAAGCGUGGGGAGCAAACAGGAUUAGAUACCCUGGUAGUCCACGCCGUAAACGAUGAGUGCUAAGUGUUGGGGGGUUUCCGCCCCUCAGUGCUGCAGCUAACGCAUCAAGCACUCCGCCUGGGGAGUACGGUCGCAAGACUGAAACUCAAAUGAAUUGACGGGG